UUGCCCACUGACAAAGACAUGAUCAGUCUAUAAUUUUAAUGGUAGGUUUAUUUGAACAGUGAGAGACAGAAUCACACCUUCAAAGAAUAGGCCAGAGGACCAACCAUGGAGAAUAGUAAGACACUUCAUUAUUUCUAUUUAUAUAACUACGCUAUAUUGUUUGUCCUCAUGUGUCUGUGCAUGUUUUUCAGUAUAAAGUACUCUGCAGCCACUUAGUGUGUACACCAGGUUAUAUCAGCUGUGUCGGUGAACCCCUCCCGCAUCUGAACUGGCUGAAACAGAGGGCACAGCAUGAUCAGAGGUAUGUUUUGAUGUGAGAGAGGGUGCCAACCCCCAGUCCCGUCAUCACCAUCUCACCUGCUCUUAAGAUAACCAUCAGGCCAACUGGGGGCCCAAGGCUGUUAGGAGACACCGCUAGAGACACUAUUAUGUAAUUGUGAUGAACUGAGAGAAUAUUAGGCUAGCACUGUGAUUCAUUAAUCAUAUGCUGCCUUCCCUGCUCCUCUGUUCUUACCUCUUUCCCUUUCUGUCUUUUACACGCUUUCUUACACCUCUCUACCCACCUCCUC
This is a long non-coding RNA of Coregonus clupeaformis (lake whitefish), 569 nucleotides long. RefSeq lists it as uncharacterized. The transcript has 3 exons. The record is from RefSeq and is a predicted model, not a curated record. Lineage: Eukaryota; Metazoa; Chordata; Actinopteri; Salmoniformes; Salmonidae.